This 1282-nucleotide long non-coding RNA is filed under the name Salmo salar (Atlantic salmon). Its description in RNAcentral is "lncRNA (ENSSSAG00000121088.1)". The record is from RNAcentral. Lineage: Eukaryota; Metazoa; Chordata; Actinopteri; Salmoniformes; Salmonidae.
GUGCGAGAGGAGGGGUGUGUGUAAAUGGAAUGUGUCAGGGCUCUAAUUUGGUAUGGAGCUAUUUCACACUGGGCUGCAGCAUGCUGCAGACUGGUGAAUAACUACUGUGGUGGUGAGAUCAUACACUCUGACUGGAACAACUGAUCUAGGAUAAGUGAGCCCGGUGCAGACUGGAUGCCACAUUCCACACAGGAGAAUCAAUCUGAAGGUGGAAACUAAGGAGUUAGGCUGGCUGAAGUAAUGUAAUGCAUCCCAUAUGUAGGCAUUCCUGCACUGCCUGUAGUGUCUGUCAGCGUCUCAUAUUCUGGACCUUGAAGUUGAUUCCUCGGCAGCCAGUUGCAUCCUGGGAAGGCUGUUCCAUGGGUCCAGGCUGGGAGUGAAUCUCAAAUGUAUUUUCUUGAUUCCUUGUGUCCUUUCUCCUUGAUUCCUUCUCCAAGUUCAUUGGGGAACAAGGUCUAAGGGGAGGAAAAUUUGACCAUUUCUUCCAAUGUGUUUUGAGAAGGAGCGAGGAGAGAGGACAGGGGCAAUCAAGGAAAUACAAUUGAGAUUCACCCAGGGGCUCUCCUCCUGUCCUGCGUCGCCCUGCUCUCAUUGGCAGACCGAUCGUCAGCUCCAGCAGCUGCGUCUCUGUCUAUCUGUCGGCCUCACCCUCGGCCCCUCGGGACAUUUAGUUCUGCCUGCUCUGACUCUGGUCCCUGUCUCCCUGACUUCUCGUCAGUCCUGCUACUCUGCCCUGGAUUCCCCACUCUAUGCUCCCUUCAAUUCCCCUCCGGACCUGCUUACCCUGUCCCAACACCUCUCGCUCCAGCCUCAGCCUCCGCACCUGGUUUCCGGCAACCCGCCCGAGCUUCCCCUGGCCCGCACUCAAUCUUCCCCCCGUGCUUCAAUAAAUACCUUGGUUACCUCAUCCCAGUCUCCUCGUGUGAGUCUGCUCUUGGGUUCAGCUGUUCCGCUCCGUGUGACACUCCUAUAAGUGCAGAGGAGGCGGAGAGGGCCCUGUCUGAGCAUGUGUAUAUUAAGAUGUAUAUUAUGGGCAUGAUUAAAAUCGGUUUAUUUCUCAGAACAUUGUUUUACCGUCAUUCAUGCAGGGCUACAACUGCUUAUGUACACUUUGCAGAAAGCUAGUAAGGUAGGGAGGGCAGCAGAAAUGGACUGGCCAUUGGGCCGUUCGGGAAAAGGUCAGAUGGGCUGGUCCAUAUGUAGCUCAGUGGGCCUGUCUAAAUUGUUGUUUUGUGUGUGUAUCAGACCUGGGAUAACUACAGAUUUUAAUAUGCUUCGUGAG